UCGGGAAUUUUGGGCAAUGGGCGAAAGCCUGACCCAGCAACGCCGCGUGAAGGAUGAAGUAUUUCGGUAUGUAAACUUCGAAAGAAUAGGAAGAAUAAAUGACGGUACUAUUUAUAAGGUCCGGCUAACUACGUGCCAGCAGCCGCGGUAAUACGUAGGGACCAAGCGUUGUUCGGAUUUACUGGGCGUAAAGGGCGCGUAGGCGGCGACAUAAGACAGAUGUGAAAUCCCCGGGCUCAACCUGGGAACUGCGUUUGUGACUGUGUUGCUAGAGUGUAGCAGAGGGGGGUGGAAUUCCACGUGUAGCAGUGAAAUGCGUAGAGAUGUGGAGGAACACCGAUGGCGAAGGCAGCCCCCUGGGUUAACACUGACGCUCAUGCACGAAAGCGUGGGGAGCAAACAGGAUUAGAUACCCUUGUAGUCCCUGAGCGGGCUGGCAAGGCGCAU
Molecule: ribosomal RNA, 447 nt
Filed under: uncultured bacterium
Lineage: Bacteria
Description: bacterial SSU rRNA
Rfam family: Bacterial small subunit ribosomal RNA
Source: RNAcentral